Molecule: ribosomal RNA, 490 nt
Filed under: uncultured bacterium
Lineage: Bacteria
Description: partial 16S ribosomal RNA
Rfam family: Bacterial small subunit ribosomal RNA
Source: RNAcentral
AUUGAACGCUGGCGGCAGGCCUAACACAUGCAAGUCGAACGGUAACAGGAAGAAGCUUGCUUCUUUGCUGACGAGUGGCGGACGGGUGAGUAAUGUCUGGGAAACUGCUUGAUGGAGGGGGAUAACUACUGGAAACGGUAGCUAAUACCGCAUAACGUCGCAAGACCAAAGAAGGGGACCUUCGGGCCUCUUGCCAUCGGAUGUGCCCAGAUGGGAUUAGCUAGUAGGUGGGGUAACGGCUCACCUAGGCGACGAUCCCUAGCUGGUCUGAGAGGGUGACCAGCCACACUGGAACUGAGACACGGUCCAGACUCCUACGGGAGGCAGCAGUGGGGAAUAUUGCGCAAUGGGCGCAAGCCUGAUGCAGCCAUGCCGCGUGUAUGAAGAAGGCCUUCGGGUUGUAAAGUACUUUCAGCGGGGAGGAAGGGAGUAAAGUUAAUACCUUUGCUCAUUGACGUUACCCGCAGAAGAAGCACCGGCUAACUCCGUG